UACGAAGGGGGCUAGCGUUGUUCGGAAUUACUGGGCGUAAAGCGCACGUAGGCGGGUUUGUAAGUAGGGGGUGAAAUCCCUGGGCUCAACCCAGGAACUGCCUUCUAGACUGCAAGCCUGGAGGUCAGGAGAGGCGAGUGGAAUUCCGAGUGUAGAGGUGAAAUUCGUAGAUAUUCGGAGGAACACCAGUGGCGAAGGCGACUCGCUGGACUGAUACUGACGCUGAGGUGCGAAAGCGUGGGGAGCAAACAGG
RNAcentral lists this ribosomal RNA (253 nucleotides) under uncultured bacterium. RNAcentral describes it as "partial 16S ribosomal RNA". It matches the Rfam family "Bacterial small subunit ribosomal RNA", at positions 524 to 776 of the family's 1533-position model. RNAcentral also lists the same sequence under 1 other name. The record is from RNAcentral.